Molecule: ribosomal RNA, 273 nt
Filed under: Clostridioides difficile
Lineage: Bacteria; Bacillati; Bacillota; Clostridia; Peptostreptococcales; Peptostreptococcaceae
Description: partial 23S ribosomal RNA
Rfam family: Bacterial large subunit ribosomal RNA
Source: RNAcentral
CAAAGGUUCUCUCAGUACGGUCGGAAAUCGUACGUAGAGUGUAAAGGCAAAAGAGAGCUUGAUUGCAAGACAUACAGGUCGAGCAAGGAUGAAAAUCGGACUUAGUGAUCCGGUGGUUCUGCGUGGAAGGGCCAGCGCUCAACGGAUAAAAGCUACCCUGGGGAUAACAGGCUUAUCUCCCCCAAGAGUCCACAUCGACGGGGAGGUUUGGCACCUCGAUGUCGGCUCAUCACAUCCUGGGGCUGUAGUAGGUCCCAAGGGUUGGGCUGUUCG